RNAcentral lists this unclassified non-coding RNA (271 nucleotides) under Peniophora albobadia. RNAcentral describes it as "partial internal transcribed spacer region". The stretch from base 1 to 46 matches the Rfam family "Eukaryotic small subunit ribosomal RNA", at positions 1786 to 1831 of the family's 1831-position model. Lineage: Eukaryota; Fungi; Basidiomycota; Agaricomycetes; Russulales; Peniophoraceae. The record is from RNAcentral.
AAGUCGUAACAAGGUUUCCGUAGGUGAACCUGCGGAAGGAUCAUUAGCGAAGUUCGGAAUGCAUGUUCGGUGUUGAUGCUGCCCAGCGAUGGGAUGUGCUCGCUCGGAUGUGUGUCCCUUCUCUAUCCACCCCACUGUGAACCAAGUGUGUGAGCCGAAGAGAAAUCGGACGCUCGCAUGCAAACCUUUAACAUACCCCAAUGAAGUAUCAGAAUGUACCUUGCGUUAACUCGCACAAAUAUAACUUUCAACAACGGAUCUCUUGGCUCUC